GAACCCUACGGGAGGCAGCAGUGAGGAAUAUUGGUCAAUGGGCGAGAGCCUGAACCAGCCAAGUCGCGUGAGGGAAGACGGUCCUAUGGAUUGUAAACCUCUUUUGUCGGGGAGCAAAAAGGCCUCGUGAGGCCACAAGCGAGAGUACCCGAAGAAAAAGCAUCGGCUAACUCCGUGCCAGCAGCCGCGGUAAUACGGAGGGUGCGAGCGUUAAUCGGAAUUACUGGGCGUAAAGCGCACGUAGGCUGUAUGACAAGUCAAGGGUGAAAUGCCACGGCUCAACCGUGGAACUGCCUUUGAAACUG
Molecule: ribosomal RNA, 305 nt
Filed under: uncultured bacterium
Lineage: Bacteria
Description: bacterial SSU rRNA
Rfam family: Bacterial small subunit ribosomal RNA
Source: RNAcentral